RNAcentral lists this ribosomal RNA (354 nucleotides) under Triticum aestivum (bread wheat). RNAcentral's name for it is "partial small subunit ribosomal RNA". Lineage: Eukaryota; Viridiplantae; Streptophyta; Magnoliopsida; Poales; Poaceae. The record is from RNAcentral.
AUGUUUACUAGAAGAAGCCCAACAGAUGAAACAUUUGAGGGUUCAUUGGAUCUGCAUAAAUUUGCAAAGGAGGCUCUCCCAGAUAGAACCUUGGAGAUAGCUGACCCAACAAUCUGGCUAUACAGAGAACCAAGGGAUGAUAUAAAAAGUAGUAGAAUCCAGAAGUGCUUGGUUUCUGUCUUCAGUCUUGGCAUAUCCUGCUCAAAAACACAGCCUCGAGAACGGACAUUGAUAAGAGAUGCAGCGGUAGAGAUGCAUGCAAUCAGAGAUGCAUACCUCCUGUUUGCUGGUGAGCGUAUUGGAGAAUAUGGAGCAGAAGAGGAGCCUCGGCUCGAGACAUUUGAGCUGGAAUGA